UAGGAUAGAGGCCUACCAUGGUGGUAACGGGUAACGGGGUGUUAGGGCACGACACCGGAGAGGGAGCCUGAGAAACGGCUACCACAUCCAAGGAUGGCAGCAGGCGCGCAAAUUACCCAAUCCCGACACGGGGAGGUAGUGACAAUAAAUAACAAUACGGGGUUCUUUCGGAUCUCGUAAUUGGAAUGAGUACAAUUUAAAUCUCUUAACGAGGAACAAUUGGAGGGCAAGUCUGGUGCCAGCAGCCGCGGUAAUUCCAGCUCCAAUAGCGUAUAUUAAAGUUGUUGCAGUUAAAAAGCUCGUAGUUGAAUUUCGGGGUUAGUAGGUUGGUCAUGCCUCUGGUAUGUACUGGUCACACUGAUUCCUCCUUCCUUAUGAACCGUAAUGCCAUUAAUUUGGUGUUGCGGGGAAUUUGGACUGUUACUUUGAAAAAAUUAGAGUGUUUAAAGCAAGCUAACGCUUGAAUACAUUAGCAUGGAAUAAUGAAAUAGGACGUUCGAUCUUAUUUUGUUGGUUUCUAGGAUUGACGUAAUGAUUAAUAGGGAUAGUUGGGGCAUUAGUAUUCAAUUGUCAGAGGUGAAAUUCUUGGAUUUAUUGAAGACUAACUACUGCGAAAGCAUUUGCCAAGGAUGUUUUCAUUAAUCAAGAACGAAAGUUAGGGGAUCGAAGACGAUCAGAUACCGUCGUAGUCUUAACCAUAAACUAUGCCGACUAGGGAUCGGAUGA
RNAcentral lists this ribosomal RNA (726 nucleotides) under uncultured fungus. RNAcentral's name for it is "SSU rRNA". It matches the Rfam family "Eukaryotic small subunit ribosomal RNA", at positions 329 to 1060 of the family's 1831-position model. The record is from RNAcentral. Lineage: Eukaryota; Fungi.